GUCAGGAAAAUUUGCGUUACAAUCUUUUUCCGUAUAUUCAAAAUUAGCGCUUAAACAAAUAAAGUUGGAAAUAAUUUUUCACUUUCUAUUAACGUUUUAGAUAUUAGUUAAUAUGUUUUUAUGUUUGUUGUUUUAUUUUUUAGUUCUUUAUGAAUAAUAUUAAUUAAUAAAUUGGUAUUAGUCAAAACCCCGUUUAUAAAAUAACGCCGGUCAGGGGAAGUAAUUGUUGCGGGUCUAUGAUUAUCGUUCGUGCAAAUGGUGGCGCUGUUUGGAAAAAUUUGAAAACAACACGAUUGGCAAUUUAUUUGGAUUUCGAAGAUCCUGGUCCUGGCUGAAAUUUAGAGUACUGCAGCUGUAGCCUGUAUACCAUACAUUCGCUGUAACCUGUACACCAUACAUUCGCUGUAGCCUGUAUACCAUACAUUCAACAUGAAAAGGACUGUCAGGAUGCUGCAUAAAAUGGUCUAAGCUAGAGCCUAGAAUGUUAAUUUCUUGGGAAUAUGCUGCAAGGAACUGACGGGGUGCAGUUUUUCUUACCAAUCAUAGAAGCAGUUAGAGACAGCCAAAGAAGUACUCAAACACUUGACAUACCCAGAAAGAUCAAGAAGAAAAGAUUGGAACAGAUUGAAGCUGAAUUGAUAAAACUAUUUAAGUGAAUUUAAGCUGCACUUGAACUGUAUUUUUGAAAUAAAAUAUCUGAAGUAUUUAAUAUUUUCUUGAUAUUUUGUUAAACUUGGUUACUUUGCUUUAUAUCCAAAAAUUAAAGUAUGGUGGGUUUUCAACGUUGAAAUGACAUUGAAAUUUCAACGUUGUUUCAACUUUCAAAUCCGAAUAUAAAUCCAACCUUAUUUCAACGUUGAAAUCUGACCAAAAUUCAACGUU
Molecule: long non-coding RNA, 882 nt
Organism: Ruditapes philippinarum (Manila clam)
Lineage: Eukaryota; Metazoa; Mollusca; Bivalvia; Venerida; Veneridae
Exons: 4
Source: RefSeq, a predicted model, not a curated record